RNAcentral lists this ribosomal RNA (547 nucleotides) under uncultured bacterium. RNAcentral's name for it is "bacterial SSU rRNA". It matches the Rfam family "Bacterial small subunit ribosomal RNA", at positions 355 to 896 of the family's 1533-position model. The record is from RNAcentral.
UAGGGAAUUUUUCACAAUGAGCGAAAGCUUGAUGGAGCAAUGCCGCGUGAACGAUGAAGGUCUUUAAGAUUGUAAAGUUCUUUUAUUUGGGAAGAAUGACUUUAGCAGGUAAUGGCUGGAGUUUGACUGUACCAUUUUGAAUAAGUGACGACUAACUAUGUGCCAGCAGUCGCGGUAAUACAUAGGUCGCAAGCGUUAUCCGGAUUUAUUGGGCGUAAAGCAAGCGCAGGCGGAUUGAAAAGUCUGGUGUUAAAGGCAGCUGCUUAACAGUUGUAUGCAUUGGAAACUAUUAAUCUAGAGUGUGGUAGGGAGUUUUGGAAUUUCAUGUGGAGCGGUGAAAUGCGUAGAUAUAUGAAGGAACACCAGUGGCGAAGGCGAAAACUUAGGCCAUUACUGACGCUUAGGCUUGAAAGUGUGGGGAGCAAAUAGGAUUAGAUACCCUAGUAGUCCACACCGUAAACGAUAGAUACUAGCUGUCGGGGCGAUCCCCUCGGUAGUGAAGUUAACACAUUAAGUAUCUCGCCUGGGUAGUACAUUCGCAAGAAUG